RNAcentral lists this ribosomal RNA (828 nucleotides) under Triticum aestivum (bread wheat). Its description in RNAcentral is "partial small subunit ribosomal RNA". Lineage: Eukaryota; Viridiplantae; Streptophyta; Magnoliopsida; Poales; Poaceae. The record is from RNAcentral.
AUGGCGGCGCGCGGGCAGGGUCUGGAGCAAGAUUUCGAUUUCUUCGUGGUGGUCGACUUCGAGGCGACGUGCGUGAAAGACGGGCGGAUCUUCCCGCAGGAAAUCAUCGAGUUCCCCGCGGUGCUCGUCGACGGCGCCACCGGCCGCAUCGAGUCCGCGUUUCGCAGGUACGUUCGUCCCAAACAUCACCCUGUGCUGACCGAAUUUUGCAGGGAGCUCACCGGCAUCCGGCAGGAGGACGUCGACGGCGGCGUGGAACUCGGCGACGCGCUCUGGCUGCACGAUUCUUGGCUGAAGGCGGCGACGGCGGGAGCAGGGAACAAGGCGUCCGCUUGGCCGUGGGCAGGGCGGGUCAACCUGCAGGAGGCGGUCCGGGCGGCGGGGCUGGACUGGGAGGGCCGCCUGCACUGUGGGCUGGACGAUGCGCUCAACACGGCGCGGCUGCUUGCUGAGAUCAUGCGGCGCGGGGUCAAGAUCACCAUCACCGGCUCGCUGGCGCCGCCGCCGCCGAUCCAGCAGAAGCAGCAGCCUGGCGCAAGCCCUUGCGGUGGCUCACCGGCGCUGGCGCCGCCACCGAUCCAGCAGCAGCCGCCUCGCACAGGCCCUUGCAGUGGCACAUUUGCGCCGGUGCCGGCGCAGGCGCCGAUCCAGCAGAAGCAGCAGCAGCCGCCGCAGCCUCACAUAAUCAGCCCCUGCGGUGGCUCCUCCGCGACGUGCUUCUCGUACUGCGGGGUGGCGACCAGAGGAGCCAUGGAGCCAGGGCCGAUGCCGUCUGGAUGCGCCAACUGGACGCCGGCCAUGGGACCUUACUUUCUGUGGAGCAACUGA